GAUUUUUUCCUUCUCCUGGUUUCCUCUUCCCCUCCCUCGCUGAUCUCGGAAGCUAAGCAGGGUCGGGCCUGGUUAGUACUUGGAUGGGAGACCGCCUGGGAAUACCAGGUGCUGUAAGCU
RNAcentral lists this ribosomal RNA (120 nucleotides) under Amphiprion percula (orange clownfish). The record is from RNAcentral. Lineage: Eukaryota; Metazoa; Chordata; Actinopteri; Pomacentridae.